UACGUAGGGUGCAAGCGUUAAUCGGAAUUACUGGGCGUAAAGCGUGCGCAGGCGGCUUUGCGAGACAGAUGUGAAAUCCCCGGGCUUAACCUGGGAACUGCAUUUGUGACUGCAUGGCUGGAGUGUGGCAGAGGGGGAUGGAAUUCCGCGUGUAGCAGUGAAAUGCGUAGAUAUGCGGAGGAACACCGAUGGCGAAGGCAAUCCCCUGGGCCUGCACUGACGCUCAUGCACGAAAGCGUGGGGAGCAAACAGG
RNAcentral lists this ribosomal RNA (253 nucleotides) under uncultured bacterium. Its description in RNAcentral is "partial 16S ribosomal RNA". It matches the Rfam family "Bacterial small subunit ribosomal RNA", at positions 524 to 776 of the family's 1533-position model. The record is from RNAcentral.